GAUGAACGCUAGCUACAGGCUUAACACAUGCAAGGUCGAGGGGUAGCAGGGUAGCAAUACCGCUGACGACCGGCGCACGGGUGAGUAACACGUAUCCAACCUUCCCAUAACUCGGGGAUAGCCUUUCGAAAGAAAGAUUAAUACCCGAUAGUACUUAAGAAAGGCAUCUUUUUAAGUUAAAGAUUUAUUGGUUAUGGAUGGGGAUGCGUUCCAUUAGAUAGUUGGUGAGGUAACGGCUCACCAAGUCUUCGAUGGAUAGGGGUUCUGAGAGGAAGGUCCCCCACAUUGGUACUGAGACACGGACCAAACUCCUACGGGAGGCAGCAGUGAGGAAUAUUGGUCAAUGGGCGAGAGCCUGAACCAGCCAAGUAGCGUGAAGGAUGAAGGUCCUAUGGAUUGUAAACUUCUUUUAUAGUAGAAUAAAGUGAUCCACGUGUGGAUUUUUGUAUGUAUACUAUGAAUAAGGAUCGGCUAACUCCGUG
RNAcentral lists this ribosomal RNA (482 nucleotides) under uncultured bacterium. RNAcentral's name for it is "bacterial SSU rRNA". It matches the Rfam family "Bacterial small subunit ribosomal RNA", at positions 28 to 507 of the family's 1533-position model. The record is from RNAcentral.